RNAcentral lists this ribosomal RNA (400 nucleotides) under uncultured bacterium. RNAcentral's name for it is "bacterial SSU rRNA". It matches the Rfam family "Bacterial small subunit ribosomal RNA", at positions 355 to 772 of the family's 1533-position model. The record is from RNAcentral.
UGGGGAAUUUUCCGCAAUGGGCGCAAGCCUGACGGAGCAACGCCGCGUGAGGGAAGACGGUCUGUGGAUUGUAAACUUCUUUUCUCUGUGAAGAUAAUGACGGUAGCAGAGGAAUCAGCAUCGGCUAACUCCGUGCCAGCAGCCGCGGUAAUACGGAGGAUGCGAGCGUUAUCCGGAAUGAUUGGGCGUAAAGCGUCUGCAGGUGGUCAAUCAAGUCUUAUGUUAAAGAGCGGGGCUUAACUCUGUGAGGGCAUAGGAAACUGAUGGACUAGAGUACAGUAGGGGUCACGGGAAUUCCCGGUGUAGCGGUGAAAUGCGUAGAUAUCGGGAAGAACACCAGCGGCGAAAGCGCGUGACUGGGCUGAGACUGACACUCAUGGACGAAAGCUAGGGGAGCGAA